AUUUAAAUAGUUUAUUAAAAAUAUUGAUUUGUGGAGUCAAGGAUAUGAAUUGAAUUCAUUUUAGAUC
Molecule: transfer RNA, 67 nt
Filed under: Allobaccha apicalis
Lineage: Eukaryota; Metazoa; Arthropoda; Insecta; Diptera; Syrphidae
Description: tRNA-His
Rfam family: tRNA
About the family: Transfer RNA (tRNA) molecules are approximately 80 nucleotides in length. Their secondary structure includes four short double-helical elements and three loops (D, anti-codon, and T loops). Further hydrogen bonds mediate the characteristic L-shaped molecular structure. tRNAs have two regions of fundamental functional importance: the anti-codon, which is responsible for specific mRNA codon recognition, and the 3' end, to which the tRNAs corresponding amino acid is attached (by aminoacyl-tRNA synthetases). tRNAs cope with the degeneracy of the genetic code in two manners: having more than one tRNA (with a specific anti-codon) for a particular amino acid; and 'wobble' base-pairing, i.e. permitting non-standard base-pairing at the 3rd anti-codon position.
Source: RNAcentral